Molecule: transfer RNA, 76 nt
Filed under: Coriobacteriia bacterium
Lineage: Bacteria; Bacillati; Actinomycetota; Coriobacteriia
Also listed under: 1 other name
Description: tRNA-Lys
Rfam family: tRNA
About the family: Transfer RNA (tRNA) molecules are approximately 80 nucleotides in length. Their secondary structure includes four short double-helical elements and three loops (D, anti-codon, and T loops).
Source: RNAcentral
GGACCGGUAGCUCAGCUGGCAGAGCAGCGGACUCUUAAUCCGAAGGUCCGGGGUUCGAAACCCCGCCGGUCCACCA